CAAGAGAUGACACCUGACAGAAAAUCCUCAGAUGGAGUCAGCACUGUAUUUUUUCCACCAUGUGUGAGCAUGGAAAGUAGUUGUCUGCACUCUUGUUUCAGCAACUGAUGGGCAUUCCUGCUUAGAAGAGGUGGUCAUUUUAUAUCAAUAGAGAUGACUGAAAAUACAGCAGGUGCCCAGUGAACAUUCCAGGUUUACCAGUGAGUAAACCCUGGGAGCCAAGAGGCUGGUGACCCUGGCAAGAACUGUCUGCUUGGACACCAUGAAUGCAAGCAGCAGAGAACCUCAGUCCAAUUCAAGCACAGAUGAUUCAGGGUUGGAAAUUCCCCUUGAAUGACAAGGGACAAAGGGGUCUUGUGGCCAACUUGGGCCUGAAUGAGGCAGAGCUGCUCUGCCUAGGGCAGGAGUAGCCAGUAGCUGAAGGUGUCCCAGGCCAGGGAAGUCCUAUCUCUCUCCUGGGCCCUAGGGUAUAUCUUCAACACAUUUCUCCUUUCUGUGCCCUGCUUCAUUUCCAUUCUUACUACCUCCCUACUGGAGGGGGGUGGGGUGGGAGAGAGGGCUGCGUUUGUUCCCUCCCAGUGUUAGAUUUCAUGUGGCUUUGUUUUGUCAUGGCCCUGGCUUGAAAUCAUGGUGUCCUUUCUACUUUCGGACAUUCCCAUGGAAUUCCUUAUUUCAAGCUCCCAAGAGAAAGAUUCUGAUUGAUUCAGUUCUGUUUCCAUUCUUGCCGCUAACCUUGGCUCAAGUUCCAUGCCAUGGCUCAGAGUACUUGCUCUUAUUUGUGCUUCCCAUUCCUGGCUAUGGGAUUGGAUUGGAGUUGGGUUGUAUUCUAUUGUGUAACCCACAACUAUCUUGGGGGCAUAAGCUGAGGGUGGGGGAUGUCUCUUUAGGAGAGGAUGUCACCCUGUAGCCUUCCUGGGAUGAAGGGAUGAAGAGACUCCAUUGUGCAGAUGCAUGAGGGAGGAGGAUGUCUAGUCUCCUGGAACAACAGGCAACCAUUGAAGGAUGUUGCGUGGAGGUUGAUCUGACCUGGUUAUGUCUUUUAAAAGCCCUUGUUGUCAUGUCCUGGAGAAAGAACAGGAGGGGCUCACGAAAGCAAGCAGAAAGACCAAAGGGGCUGUCCCAUUUUACAGAUGAGUAAACUGACUUCCCAACAACACAAACCAGUGAGCCACUAGGAAAUUAUCUUGGUUUCUCUGUACUAACAGAUGGGGAGGGGAUCCCAGAGAAGCAGGUCACAAAAUGUUGAUGACCAGGAAUAUCAGUACAGUGGAAAAGAAGACCCUUCCAUCUGAAGUUUUUCUCUUUGUUAAGAAAGUAAUCCCUAAUCCAGUUCUCUUACCUGAGGGGAAGAGGAUGGAGGUGCCAUGAUCAACUUGACUGUGUAGACAAAGACACCACUCUGGAGAGUGGCAGAGCAACUGGAAGGAAGCCUAAGUGACCACAUAUGGCAGAACCUGCCUCAUCCUGGACUGUUUGCUUGCAGUGUUGCACAAGUAUGGAAUAAACCUGUAUUUCUUUAAGCCACUCUGUUUGAUUGUCUCCUUGUAUCUUAGUUACUUUCUUAGUUGUCACUGAGACACAAUACCUGCAAAUUAAGUGAGAAAAGUUUUAUUUUGGCUCAUCAUUUGUAGAGGUUUCAGUCCAUAGUUGGCUGGCUCCAAGGCAGG
Heterocephalus glaber (naked mole-rat) is the source of this 1667-nucleotide long non-coding RNA. Lineage: Eukaryota; Metazoa; Chordata; Mammalia; Rodentia; Bathyergidae. The record is from Ensembl.